This 77-nucleotide non-coding RNA is filed under the name Actinacidiphila glaucinigra. Lineage: Bacteria; Bacillati; Actinomycetota; Actinomycetes; Kitasatosporales; Streptomycetaceae. The record is from RNAcentral.
GGGAAGCCGGUGGGAAUCCGGGACUGCCCCGCAACGGUGUGCGGACGCCUGGAGGCGUGCCCGCGAGUCCGAGUACC